RNAcentral lists this non-coding RNA (170 nucleotides) under uncultured Ruminococcus sp. RNAcentral's name for it is "malK-I RNA". It matches the Rfam family "malK-I RNA". The record is from RNAcentral. Lineage: Bacteria; Bacillati; Bacillota; Clostridia; Eubacteriales; Oscillospiraceae.
GCGCCGUUUCACUCCACAAUAUGAGCGGCGUACAUUCACAAGGAGGUUUAUCAACUCCGUCAGACUCACGGUGCGGCAGCGUGGAGACCUGUCGUAAUGCGGAGCAAUUCAGCGCAAUUGCCCGCGAGGCAGUUUCUGCGAAGGCGUUACUGUCAGAGUCAGGCUUAUGU